UACGGUGGUUAUAGCGUCAGGGAAACGCCCGGUGACAUUCCGAACCCGGAAGCUAAGGCUGACAGCGCCGAUGGUACUGCACUCGGGAGGGUGUGGGAGAGUAGGACACCGCCGGAC
This 117-nucleotide ribosomal RNA is filed under the name Leucobacter chromiisoli. The record is from RNAcentral. Lineage: Bacteria; Bacillati; Actinomycetota; Actinomycetes; Micrococcales; Microbacteriaceae.